UGUAAUCUAAGACCUAGAGCGGCGCACGGGUGCGUAACGCGUAUGCAACCUACCUUAUACUGGGGGAUAGCCCGGAGAAAUCUGGAUUAAUACCCCAUGGCACAUAUUGAUGGCAUCUGAGAUAUGUUAAAGAUUUAUUGGUAUAAGAUGGGCAUGCGUCUGAUUAGCUAGUUGGCGGUGUAACGGACCACCAAGGCGACGAUCAGUAGGGGUUCUGAGAGGAAGGUCCCCCACACUGGCACUGAGAUACGGGCCAGACUCCUACGGGAGGCAGCAGUAGGGAAUAUUGGGCAAUGGUCGGAAGACUGACCCAGCCAUGCCGCGUGCAGGAAGAAUGCCCUCUGGGUUGUAAACUGCUUUUAUCUGGGAAGAAAAAGGCCAUGCGUGCAAUUGCCGGUCC
Molecule: ribosomal RNA, 400 nt
Filed under: Bacteroidetes bacterium '7.5 MW-10'
Lineage: Bacteria; Pseudomonadati; Bacteroidota
Description: bacterial SSU rRNA
Rfam family: Bacterial small subunit ribosomal RNA
Source: RNAcentral